GAUGAACGCUGGCGGCGUGCCUAAUACAUGCAAGUCGAGCGAACGGACGAGGAGCUUGCUCCUCUGACGUUAGCGGCGGACGGGUGAGUAACACGUGGAUAACCUACCUAUAAGACUGGGAUAACUUCGGGAAACCGGAGCUAAUACCGGAUAAUAUAUUGAACCGCAUGGUUCAAUAGUGAAAGACGGUCUUGCUGUCACUUAUAGAUGGAUCCGCGCUGCAUUAGCUAGUUGGUAAGGUAACGGCUUACCAAGGCAACGAUGCGUAGCCGACCUGAGAGGGUGAUCGGCCACACUGGAACUGAGACACGGUCCAGACUCCUACGGGAGGCAGCAGUAGGGAAUCUUCCGCAAUGGGCGAAAGCCUGACGGAGCAACGCCGCGUGAGUGAUGAAGGUCUUCGGAUCGUAAAACUCUGUUAUUAGGGAAGAACAAAUGUGUAAGUAACUAUGCACAUCUUGACGGUACCUAAUCAGAAAGCCACGGCUAACUACGUG
Molecule: ribosomal RNA, 497 nt
Filed under: uncultured bacterium
Lineage: Bacteria
Description: partial 16S ribosomal RNA
Rfam family: Bacterial small subunit ribosomal RNA
Source: RNAcentral